Long non-coding RNA from Peromyscus eremicus (cactus mouse), 446 nucleotides. RefSeq lists it as uncharacterized. NCBI's taxonomy places the organism in Eukaryota, Metazoa, Chordata, Mammalia, Rodentia, Cricetidae. The record is from RefSeq and is a predicted model, not a curated record. The transcript is spliced from 2 exons.
GCAGCUCUGAGUGCUGGCAACCCUCAGGGCCAGUCCUGCUUCCACACUGUCCAGCACCUCUCCCUCCUACCCACCUUGUGAGCCGGUGACUCAGUGCCAUGGUGAGCACUGACUAACGGGCAGCCAGCAUCUGCUUGAGGCCCAGGCUCACCAGGAGAUUAACCCGGCAGGCUGCUGUGAGAAGGGACAGAGACGGCUCUGACAGGAGGCCCAGGAUGCAAGGGAAGGCCAAACAAAUCUACCUGCUUAAGGAAGACUCUUCCUCUGACGGCCACCUUGAGACUUUGUCCAGCAGAAAUCUCUGGCAAGUGUUAUCCCAGCCACUCAUGUGGCACUGGGCCGUCUAUGACUUCCUGAUGACAUUACUCUACAUCAUUUUGUUCACAGUGCUGUUUGACAACUUUGUGUGACCACCUCUCUCACUCCAAAUAAAGCUGAGCAAAGGA